RNAcentral lists this long non-coding RNA (1203 nucleotides) under Athene cunicularia (burrowing owl). RNAcentral describes it as "lncRNA (ENSACUG00000001181.1)". The record is from RNAcentral. Lineage: Eukaryota; Metazoa; Chordata; Aves; Strigiformes; Strigidae.
GCAUCUUGCAGAAGCAAGUGUAUUCUCAGACAGUUUUGAUGACUACCAAGUUAGAGAGCAAGGAACAGAAAAAUGCUACUUCAUCUUCAGCUUUUCUUCUUCUUCUUCUUCUUCUUCUUCUUCUUCUUCUUCUUCUUCUUCUUCUUCUUCUUCUUCUUCUUCUUCUUCUUCUUCUUCUUCUUCUUCUUCUUCUUCUUCUUCUUCUUCUUCUUCUUCUUCUUCUUCUUCUUCUUCUUCUUCUUCUUCUUCUUCUUCUUCUUCUUCUUCUUCUUCUUCUUCUUCUUCUUCUUCUUCUUCUUCUUCUUCUUCUUCUUCUUCUUCUUCUUCUUCUUCUUCUUCUUCUUCUUCUUCUUCUUCUUCUUCUUCUUCUUCUUCUUCUUCUUCUUCUUCUUCUUCUUCUUCUUCUUCUUCUUCUUCUUCUUCUUCUUCUUCUUCUUCUUCUUCUUCUUCUUCUUCUUCUUCUUCUUCUUCUUCUUCUUCUUCUUCUUCUUCUUCUUCUUCUUCUUCUUCUUCUUCUUCUUCUUCUUCUUCUUCUUCUUCUUCUUCUUCUUCUUCUUCUUCUUCUUCUUCUUCUUCUUCUUCUUCUUCUUCUUCUUCUUCUUCUUCUUCUUCUUCUUCUUCUUCUUCUUCUUCUUCUUCUUCUUCUUCUUCUUCUUCUUCUUCUUCUUCUUCUUCUUCUUCUUCUUCUUCUUCUUCUUCUUCUUCUUCUUCUUCUUCUUCUUCUUCUUCUUCUUCUUCUUCUUCUUCUUCUUCUUCUUCUUCUUCUUCUUCUUCUUCUUCUUCUUCUUCUUCUUCUUCUUCUUCUUCUUCUUCUUCUUCUUCUUCUUCUUCUUCUUCUUCUUCUUCUUCUUCUUCUUCUUCUUCUUCUUCUUCUUCUUCUUCUUCUUCUUCUUCUUCUUCUUCUUCUUCUUCUUCUUCUUCUUCUUCUUCUUCUUCUUCUUCUUCUUCUUCUUCUUCUUCUUCUUCUUCUUCUUCUUCUUCUUCUUCUUCUUCUUCUUCUUCUUCUUCUUCUUCUUCUUCUUCUUCUUCUUCUUCUUCUUCUUCUUCUUCUUCUUCUUCUUCUUCUUCUUCUUCUUCUUCUUCUUCUUCUUCUUCUUCUUCUUCUUCUUCUUCUUCUUCUUCUUCUUCUUCUUCUUCUUCUUCUUCUUCUUCUUCUUCUUCUUCUUCUUCUUCUUCUUCUUCNNNNNNNNNNNNNNNNNNNNN